RNAcentral lists this ribosomal RNA (438 nucleotides) under uncultured bacterium. RNAcentral's name for it is "bacterial SSU rRNA". It matches the Rfam family "Bacterial small subunit ribosomal RNA", at positions 73 to 507 of the family's 1533-position model. The record is from RNAcentral.
GGAGUGCUUGCACUCGCUGACGACCGGCGCACGGGUGCGUAACGCGUAUAGAACCUAACCUUUUUUACAGAGGAUAGCCUUUAGAAAUGAAGAUUAANACCUCAUAGUAUUGAGAGUUGGCAUCAACUUUAAUUAAAGAUUUAUCGGUAAAAGAUGGCUAUGCGUCCUAUUAGCUAGAUGGUAAGGUAACGGCUUACCAUGGCUAUGAUAGGUAGGGGUCCUGAGAGGGAGAUCCCCCACACUGGUACUGAGACACGGACCAGACUCCUACGGGAGGCAGCAGUGAGGAAUAUUGGACAAUGGGUGAGAGCCUGAUCCAGCCAUGCCGCGUGCAGGAAGACUGCCCUAUGGGUUGUAAACUGCUUUUAUACAGGAAGAAACACUCGGACGUGUCCGAGCUUGACGGUACUGUAAGAAUAAGCACCGGCUAACUCCGUG